Acanthosepion pharaonis is the source of this 98-nucleotide non-coding RNA. The record is from the annotation of a GenBank genome assembly. Lineage: Eukaryota; Metazoa; Mollusca; Cephalopoda; Sepiida; Sepiidae.
UUGAAACACCAGUCCCCAUAUGAUCACUAAAGUUAAGCAAUAUUGAGCCUGGUUAGUACUGAGAUGGGUGACCACUUGAAAAUCGAAGGUGUUGUAAG